Molecule: ribosomal RNA, 328 nt
Filed under: uncultured eukaryote
Lineage: Eukaryota
Description: partial 18S ribosomal RNA
Rfam family: Eukaryotic small subunit ribosomal RNA
Source: RNAcentral
CCCUUAGAUGUCCUGGGCCGCACGCGCGUUACACUGAUGCAUUCAACGAGCUUAUAACCUUGGCCGAGAGGCCUGGGCAAUCUUGUUAACGUGCAUCGUGAUAGGGAUAGAUUAUUGAAAUUAUUAAUCUUGAACGAGGAAUUCCUAGUAAACGCAGAUCAUCAAUUUGCAUUGAUUACGUCCCUGCCCUUUGUACACACCGCCCGUCGCACCUACCGAUUGGAUGGUCCGGUGAAGCCUCGGGAUUGUGGUUCUUGCCGCUUUAUUGUGGCGUGACCGCGAGAACUUGUCUAAACCUUAUCAUCUAGAGGAAGGUGAAGUCGUAACA